UACGGAGGGUGCAAGCGUUAAUCGGAAUUACUGGGCGUAAAGCGUGCGCAGGCGGUUUGUUAAGUCCGUUGUGAAAGCCCCGAGCUCAGCUUGGGAAUUGCAGUGGAUACUGGCAGGCUGGAGUACGGUAGAGGAAGGUGGAAUUCCCGGUGUAGCAGUGAAAUGCGUAGAUAUCGGGAGGAACACCAGUGGCGAAGGCGGCCUUCUGGACCAGUACUGACGCUCAUGCACGAAAGCGUGGGGAGCAAACAGG
This 253-nucleotide ribosomal RNA is filed under the name uncultured bacterium. RNAcentral's name for it is "partial 16S ribosomal RNA". It matches the Rfam family "Bacterial small subunit ribosomal RNA", at positions 524 to 776 of the family's 1533-position model. The record is from RNAcentral.